GGAGGGUGAGGGCUCCAGCAUGGCAGGCUGCAGGUCCCGAGCCCUGCCCCCUUGCCCCGCGGGGAGGUGGCUGAGGCCCAGCGAAAAUUCGAGCGCGGCGCCGGCGGGCCAUCACUGUUGGAGGACCCAGUGCACCCUCCGCAGCUGCUGGCCCGGGUGCUAAGCCUCUCACUGCCCAGGGCCGGCGGCGCCAGCCGACCGCUCAAGAGUGCGGGGCGCGCCGAGCCCGCGCCCACCCGGAAGUCGCGCCGAGCCCGCGCCCACCCGGAAGUCGCGCUGGACCUGCGAGCCCCGCAGGCAGCCCAGGUUCCGGCCCGCGCCUCUCCCUCCACACCUCCCCGCCAGCAGAGGGAGCCCGCUCAGGCCUCAGCCAGCACAGAGAGGGGCUCCCACGGUGCAGCUGCGGGCUGAAGGGCUCCUCAAGCGCGGCCAGAGUGGGCUGAGGCCGAGGAGGUGCCGAGAGCCAGCGAGGGAUGCCAGCAAGCUGUCACCUCUCAGAAAUACAGGAAGAACAUCAAUAAUGUUCGAAGUUAUAAAGUAGCUGGAAUGCACUUGGAUGCCAGAGAUUUUGAUUUCUUCAUGUGAAAUAAGUUGCGGAGGUCAGAGGUCAGAAAACAAGGUGUCUGCAGGACCAACCUCUCCUCUGGAUGCUCUAGGUGAGAAUCUUUUCCAUGCCUUUCUCUUAGCUUCUGAUGUUGCCAUCAGAACUUCAGAUGGUGUUCCUUGGCUUCUGUCAAUAUUAAUACAUAAAUCCUUUUCAGUCUCAGCUUCUCUCUUCACAUGGUCCUCUCCACAUCCUAUCUGUUUCUGUUCCCUCUUCUUAUAAAGACAACCCAUGUUAUUUUAAGUCCCACCUACAGACAUAAUUUUAGCUUGAUUACAUCUGCAAAAACUUUGUGUCCAAAUGAGGUUUCAUUUACCUUAUGUGUAUAACUAGGGGUUAGGGCUUGAACAUACGGGUUUGGGGAGGGGAACACAGUUCAGACCAUGACACUCAUUGUUUCACUCAUUAAUGAGUUAAGGGUGCUUUGAUAUUAUUACAUUUGAAUGAGAGUGGUCUUUAAAAUUACAUUUUGUCGUGUAGUUUGUUCCACCCUGAUGCUUAAAGGGAGUCACCUGCCUCAGCCAAUUAAACUGUGUUGUCUCUGCAGUGCGUUUUAUCACAAGAACAUGACCUUCAAGCACAAGAACACCUUGUACUCCACCACUAAAAACAGAAAUGACAUCUACCUUCACUGCUUCCCUAUUUCUCUCCAUCUUUACUGACUUGGUAUUUUGUUGUUGCUGUCAUUUCUGGUUGUUGGUCAAUUUUCAUUUCUGUUCUUAUUUUGCUGAUAAUUCUUAUAAAUCAGUGCUGAAUUUUGUCAAAUUAUUUUUCUGCAUCUCUACAGAUGAUCAUUUUAUGUUUUCGUCCCUGUGAUAAUUUAGUGAAUGUCAUUGAUCAAUUUUUAAAUAAUGAAUAUCUUUGCAUUUAAGAUAAUAUUUUUCACUAUUAAUGUUAUCUCUGAAAUGAAAGCUAAACCUAGUCAAUAGAUAUUAGAGGUGCAUGAUUUUUAAAAUUGUAUAAA
This 1568-nucleotide long non-coding RNA is filed under the name Homo sapiens (human). Its description in RNAcentral is "HSALNT0327184". Lineage: Eukaryota; Metazoa; Chordata; Mammalia; Primates; Hominidae. The record is from RNAcentral.